RNAcentral lists this ribosomal RNA (101 nucleotides) under Acinetobacter baumannii. RNAcentral's name for it is "partial 16S ribosomal RNA". It matches the Rfam family "Bacterial small subunit ribosomal RNA", at positions 1 to 98 of the family's 1533-position model. Lineage: Bacteria; Pseudomonadati; Pseudomonadota; Gammaproteobacteria; Moraxellales; Moraxellaceae. The record is from RNAcentral.
UUUAACUGAAGAGUUUGAUCAUGGCUCAGAUUGAACGCUGGCGGCAGGCUUAACACAUGCAAGUCGAGCGGGGGAAGGUAGCUUGCUACCGGACCUAGCGG